UGCCAGCAGCCGCGGUAAUACGGAGGGUGCGAGCGUUAAUCGGAAUUACUGGGCGUAAAGGGCGCGUAGGUGGUUCGAUAAGUCGGAUGUGAAAGCCCCGGGCUUAACCUGGGAAUUGCAUUCGAUACUGUCGGGCUAGAGUAUGGUAGAGGAAAGCGGAAUUCCGGGUGUAGCGGUGAAAUGCGUAGAUAUCAGGAGGAACAUCAGUGGCGAAGGCGGCUUUCUGGGCCGAUAGUGACGCUGAGGCGCGAAUGCGUGGGUAGCGAACGGGAUUAGAUA
RNAcentral lists this ribosomal RNA (279 nucleotides) under uncultured bacterium. RNAcentral's name for it is "partial 16S ribosomal RNA". It matches the Rfam family "Bacterial small subunit ribosomal RNA", at positions 506 to 784 of the family's 1533-position model. The record is from RNAcentral.